RNAcentral lists this long non-coding RNA (858 nucleotides) under Equus caballus (horse). RNAcentral describes it as "lncRNA (ENSECAG00000046740.1)". The record is from RNAcentral. Lineage: Eukaryota; Metazoa; Chordata; Mammalia; Perissodactyla; Equidae.
UAUUAAUCUAACUUAAGUUUCAUAAUGAAAUCCAGAGAAGUAAAAAUUUAUUGUACUUGAAUAAGGUAAAUGAAAUUCAUUUUAGAUCAUUCACAAAGAAUUUUUCAUGGUAACAAAGCAAAACUCAGCGAGACAGAAAAGAGAAACAUAAUUACUGAAGACAUUUACCUCCAUUUUUCACUGUCCUGUCCCAAAUUCAUUGAAUCUUGAUAAAACUGUAUUCCUGUUAUGCCCUAACAUCAUACCACAAAAUCGUUAACCAGCUCAGCUUUCACUAUGAGAAAUCCUUAUUGUUUGAAUGUGUUAUCGAAUAGAUGUAUUGAAGAGAAUUUGAUUAUUAGAAAAUUCAUGUUUUCACUUUACCUGUUCUUUCUCAAGUAUAUGCUUAUAUUAUGCCCGUGAACUGGCAAGUUUGGAGGCUGAAAGGAUUGAACUUCACAAAUAAGAGUUCUUUUUACAAACAUUCCAGUUAUCAGAUUUGGACAACACAAGUAGAAGCCUUGUUAAACUCAAUCUCCGUUGUCACUGGCUGCCUGCUCAUGUUCUUGGAGUGUUGCCAACAGGUUCUAUCUCUGAUUCCAUUCUCAAGGACUUCCUCAGUAUGGCUACAUGUCGUGUUCUCAACCAAUGAAAUAUGUAUGUGACUUCUGAGUCAAGGGAGUUAAGAAGCAUGCGUAUUUUGUCUACCUGCUUCUUUCUCAUUUGCUACCUGAACGCAGAAGACUCCAAGGUCUUACAGGAGGGACAUGAGGUGGAAGGUGUUUGGGUACCAGAAUGACUCUGUGGAAGGCCAGAGACUGAUCACAUUUACAUUGUAUUGUUAUAUGAAUGAGAAAUAAACUUUUAUUGAGUAACAGC